CUAGGAAUGCCAGAUUUAAUGGGUGGAUUUUAGGUGUCUGAUAUAUUAUUAUAUAUAAUUUUCUAGU
This 67-nucleotide transfer RNA is filed under the name Diplorchis sp. Its description in RNAcentral is "tRNA-Leu". Lineage: Eukaryota; Metazoa; Platyhelminthes; Monogenea; Polystomatidea; Polystomatidae. The record is from RNAcentral.